UUUUUUGGCAGCAUGGUCAAAGCUUUAGGCUUGUCUUUUUUUUUUACAGUCCUUUAACUUUUUUUUUGUUUCUCCCUUAUGGUUCUUUUCUUUCCUUCAGUUUUUUUGCAUUGGCUUUCUUUCUAUCAUGUCUCAUGGAAACCUAUUAAAAGACCUUCUAUCUCUACCAUUCCUACCCUUUGUUUGACAAACUAUUCUCCUUUGGCCAAAGGUAUUCUUUGGUAUCCUUAGAUUAAACUUCCAGUGUUUCAAAUGAGUGGGAAACCUGUCAAGAUUCCUGAUCUUAACAGUGACCUAAGAUCACUAUUCCAAAACAUAUAAGGAUUUUUUUAUUUACAUGUGUCACACUAAUAUAUAUAUAUUGAUAUGGAUUGAUAAUGUAUCAUAAUACUCUUGCCACUUCUUCAACAACCAGCACAGAAAAGAUACACAUAAGGAAAAAUGGACUAAAGUGGAACUUUUGAGCAAGACAACUUCAGAGAGAGAGGAAAAUAGACAAAUUCAAUAGCUUAACAAGGAAAAUUGGAGUCUAUGAUUUCCAGACACACUGGUCUUCCUUCUGAAACUACCGACUUCAUAUGUUUCCCAUGCAAUGGGCCUCAAAACUCCUAUUUAUUUAGCAUUAACAGCAUGAACCAUUUAUAAGACAGCUCACAGUCUAAAAAGUCAACAGGGAAAUUAUAAGAUUCCAGCUCAAACUUUCUGAAAUUUUAUUUGAAUUGUUUAAAUGCAAAGUCAGACUGAGUCUCACGCUGUUCACAGUAAACACCAUAUAUUUUUGUGUUCAUUUCCAAGGCAAAUCAGACUAACCUAUGUAAAGGCCUGAGUACUAUUUAUUUUUUGCUGAAUAUGUUUCUUAAAAACUGUCUCACUAUCUCCAGAGAUUUUAAAUCAUAGUGGUAACCAGUUGUCUUGGGGAUGUCAAGAAGCAAUUCUGCACAGGCAGUUGUUCAAGAGAGCCUCCCCACUGAAUUCUUCUAAGAGUUCAUAUCUGCAUGUUUUAAUAACGGCCUCCGACCAUUGCCUCAGACUCACUUUUCGGAAUAUAUGAGCACUUGAAAUUAGUUCAUGAUAAACCUGUCAAGGGCUCAUUUUAUCACUUUUUAAUUGAAAGCAGGUCACUAAAAAAUUUGUCCAUGUUGAGAAUGCAAAAGCAUUCGGGAGGGAUAUGACAAGUCAUUCCAGCAACACUGAGUGUUCAAAUGAUGCUUAGAAGAUCAAUACAUAAUGCUGCCCAGAAGAGAAACUCUGCUUAGGCAACCUCUAUGCAUACCUCACAUUCACAUCAGGACUGCUCCCAAAUACAAACUAUGUGCAUAUACCAUGCUAAUAACUGAUCAAUGGCUAUUGUUACUCAUCACAGGCUUAGAAAAUAUCAUGAAAAGCUAAAUUACAUCUCAGACUUGUUAACUCUCAUGGUAAAUUUAUCAACAGUCGAAGAAAGGCGGCUUUGUUUUGUUUUGAAGUCCCAUUGGAAACACUGAUGGAAUCUUCAGUAACUGCAUCACUGCUGCUCUGACGUGUUCCCAUAGUGGCUCUCAGCAGGUUCACACAAGAAAUGAGAAGGCUGAGAUCACUUUCUUGAUGUAUAUGUUAUUGUGAGAUCCAAGCCCUUGCUGCGUCAGAAAUCACAUGGUUUAUUAAGGGCUUAAGAUUAAUUCUGGAAAUUUAAACUCCUGUUUUAACCAUAAGCCAUGAUUGGAAACGGGCUACAGAAAAAGUAAGUUUGAUGAAUCUGGGCCAUGGAGUAACAGAACUUCAUAAUCAAGGCAAAAGGAGUGAGUUAAUUGAAGUGCUAGAUGUGCUUUUAGCAUCCUGCCAAGUAGAUCACACCACUACUUUGUUUUGGGACUCCAAUGAGAAAUGACAAUAUUAGGUAUUUUAUAUUAGAGGAGAGUUUCUGCAGGCUUCCAUGUAACUCCAUUAAUGUUGGCAAUUUUUAUGUUAAAAGGCAGGGAAUAACCUGCUCCAUUGAACAAUGGAAUGAAAUCCACUCUCUUCAGGCUGGUUAGCAGAGUCCCUUUUUCUUUUUCUCCUAUAGCCCAGUUUUAAAUGUAAACUGACUAUUAGCUGAGAAUUCUGUUGUCCAUUACGAGUUCCUGAAAACUUCAACACGGUUUCAUUACUUUAUAGCCAACACCGACAUUUUUUCCUACUGGGGAUAAAAAGUACUAAAAGCAAAAGUAAUAUCCAAGCCAACCCCCUACCUUCAGAAGACUACACAACAUGCAGAUGACAUCCUGUAUUCAGGUAAUACAUUUCACAAGAUGAUAGAUGAAGAGAGAUUUCAUAUGGUAUGUAGGGAUGUAAUAUUAACAUCAAAUACAUUCCAAAUCCCUUAUCUAAUCUAAUGAGCCAUUUAACAGUUGAUCUAUCAGGUCAGGUCUUUGAAUUGGUUUUGUGCCAUGGGAGUAAAAGAUGCCUAAUAUUUAAAUAAUAAUCUUUUUGACAAAGGUGAACUUGAUCAGUAAUAAAGAUUGUUUCCAAUCAAUGAUCUUCAAAAGGUUUCUUCUGUUUCUUUCCAGAUGACUACACAAAACAUCACAGUACAUAAAAUACCUCGGUCUAAUCCACUGCCACUUGUUUUCCUCUUUGCCAUUAUUUCUUGACCUUUAUGAAGUACUUUUGUAACUGUUUUAGGCCUAGAGAAGGUAUGCUUUUGCUUUCAUAUGGAAACUGUAAGCACUUUCAUCCUUCCACUGCCAGAACACACACACACACAAGCUGGCACAUUCUUCUAAUCACAAAAGUAAAAAAAAAGAAAAAAAAAAAGAAAAUCACAGCUGCAGUAUUAAUAGCAAAUAUAUUCUGGUUCAUGUCUGGUUACACUCAGGUGAACACUGAUAAGUCAUGUGUGAGGUUCUCAUACACAGCUCUGCUCCUGCAACACCAAUCCUAACAUGCCUCUGCCUCUUUGUAACACUGUCAUACAGCUCAGUUCUGUACAGCUUCUUGCUGAUCCACUCCUCUCCAGUAUUAAUAAUAGAUAUGAUUUAUUAUAGUUUGCCAUAGUCGGUAGUUGUUUUUUACAGAAAACUGAAUAUAUGGGCCUUCAUCUCCCCUUCCCUCCCCCCACCAAAUCUGAGACUUCAGUACAGACAGGCAACUAUGCUAAAUUCUGCGGUAAUGGUUCCUCCAAAUGAUAACUCUAAAAUGUCAUUUCUGAGUAUUUGCAAAACACAAAAAAGUCUGUCCUAGUUAAGUCCUAGUCUGUCCUUCUAAAUCAUGCACAAGUGGUUCCAAUAAAAUAUGUUAAAAAUCAAAGUACCAUAUUAAACAAAACUGUCUUCAUUGUGCAGCUGUGUCCCAAAUUAAAGUAGUGAGCUCUAUAAGCACCAUCUUAGGAGGUACAUACCCUGCCUGAUUUUUGGCUGAUCUGUAUUGCAUUUACAGCACGGGGAAAUUGGAAGCAACCCUAGCACCAUUUUUCAAGAGCAGACUAAGGUUAGACUUUAAAGCAACAAUGCUGAGGCAAAUCAUAAUAACUUCUCUCCCAGCAGUCCCAGUACAACAGUUCUUCACUAUUUGCUACACUCAGGCAGUGUUUAUGGAAAGUCACUGAGUACCUUCAAGAAGCAAGUGUCUGACUUACCCAUAGCAUUUGCCUCCAAGUGCACAGUUUUCCUAGCACAAAAUUAACCACUGGGGACUAGCAUGCUGUGGCAUUCACAGCAGGGCUUCACGGCACACUCAGUUACGAUAUGUUCAGCACAACACACUAAGAACAAAACACUUCAGCAAGAAAACUGGGUGAAUGGCAUGGUAUCUUUGGACCAUCACCAAAGCACCAGGUCUUCAUAUAACAAGGUAAAAUGCAAAAAUAAAGCUUAACAUAAACAGUAGGAAUUGGAAAGCGUUGCUAGACAUUAAAGAAGUGCUAACUUUCCUAAUUUGGGAAAAUUCAUUCAUCACUACAAAGUCAUUGCUUUGCAGCUUGAUUCAACAGCACAGAAGGAUGCAUAAAGAAUUCCUUAUAGGUAAUUAAGAAUUUUGUAUGUUCUUCAUUAAAAAAGAAAAAAAAAAAAAUUUUUUUAAACAGAUCAGGUUCAAAUCUAAUAUGCAAUCCUACAGAUGUCUAAUCAGUUUUGCUUUCUUCCUCUUCUCACUUUCAAAUUCUGGUCUCCUGGACAGCCACACAGCAGCAGAAGAAAUUUUCAGGAGUGCUGGACAUUUUUGCAAUUACUUAACUUGGAUUAAAUGACCUUAUGAUAGUAGGUGUUGUUAUGUGUAAUAAUCAGCUACAGGGAAACACUUUGGCCUAAAUGAUCAAUAUUCUUUCAAAAAGAUUAAUGAAGAUUGCUGACUCAAAAUGCCAUCGCUGUACAGACCUGUUUUAACUUUCCCCUCUGUAGCUUGGAAUGGACUACGCGAGAUAAAGGGUCACAGCAGAGUGGAGCUGUGCUCUGAGCUCUCGUUCUUCCUUUGGUGUAAUUAGGGUGCAUCAUGGUCUGUAAUUGAAUUUCUGCACUCACAGCUUACAACAGAAAUGCUCAAAAGACAGCAGUGGGAACGCUAUGCUAUGCAACUCCUGAUUUGUAAGUGAAAUUGAAUUAUAUAGAUGGAAUUGCAAACACUCAAGGGCCCCCCUAACCUGGGGUUCACUCUUCUGGCAGUACCGCAUCAAUGCCUUUAAAGAAAGCAGCUGCCUUUCCACACGCCACCGUGGGCAUAAGCUGCCUGUCCCAGUGUGAGCAACCAGACUCCAGCACUUUGCUGCUGUUCCAGGCCCCUUUAGUGCGUGCAAGCUACAGGGGGACAGGGCACGACGCUGGAUGCUGCACUCGAAACGCCUGUCCUCUCGUUCUGGCACAGAGAGCCCCACUGUUCCUUUUUAAAAAUCCCCUGCUCUUAGCAAGGUUUGUUUUCCUAACUGGUUCCCAGAAACCUCUUGGGGGUUCCAAGCCCAGAAAAGUAAUUACUGCAUUACUUUGGCCACAGACACAAUAUCAACCUUGUUAGACUUGGCCUGUGGAGACAGCCAAACACCUGCUGCUGCAACAUUUAUUUGAUAAGCUUCAUGGUUCGCUAACAUAAACCUGAAUCUGCUGACCUGCAGGAGGAUGAAAAGGAGCUGGGGGGAAAGGGUGGAGCAGGUAGGCAAUCUCAUGGCCCUCCGGCCACCAGCUUACAGCCCUCUCUCCCAGCGAGCUCCCAUUUCUCUUUACUUUCUUGUUCCCUGGUGAGAGCUUCAGAGAAUUGGUUUUCCCCCUGCAGUUAUGCAGGCAGAUGUGGAAGGGGCUAGGAUUCCCAUGCCUUAUGACGGAUUAACUGACAAGUGUGGGAUCAAUACGGGAAUUGUUCUAGCUCUGGCUGCAUCUGUAGCCUUCCAAAGCAGACAGAAUAGCUGCACACACAUUCGUUGGCAUGGUGGUGUGUGCACUGAAAGGCUGGCUUAAUACCAAAGUCCAUUAGUUAACAGCAAGGGGGGAAGGAAGGGCUGCAAAUCAGUCAAAUAAACAGAUAAAAGGUUGGGGAGGAAAGCAGAUGUAGAAAUAGAAACUUGUUUCUUUCUUUUUUAUUCCUCAAAUGAUGCAGUUUUCUUGUCUAGUAUCAAAAAAAAGAAAAUGGGGUAGAGGGAAAUAAAUAAGGUUUUGUCCCAAACAGGACCGUCUCUUCCAGUGGAUACUGCCAAGCAAUAUUUGCAGAAAAAACAAAAGUGCCAGGGGACUUAGCAGGAAGGAGAAAAUCAUCUUCCCAACUAUGGUGCUCAGUAUCAGGAAACAAAUUUCUUCUGACAGGCAACCUUGCCUCCUUCUCAGCCUCAACUUGUUCUAGGCAGGGGGAAUCAAAAGUGGACUAUCUAGAAAACCAGGAAAGGACAUUUCCAUGCAUCUGCUAGCUGUCACUUACAUGGAAAGGGUUUGACCUAAGGACAGUAUGUUUUCUAGUGUACCUCUGCCUAUGUAUGUUGAUAGUGCAUCUUGGAGAUACACAGCCUGAUUCACCCAUUCGGGAGACAGUGAGAAGCAGAUGAAUCACUCUGAAUGACAUCAGAGCCAGACCAAACUUUUAUAUAAACCUUAGCAAAAAUCUGAAGACUAAACCUCUGAACAUGUGUGAAAUUGUCUACAUGAGCAUCUUCUAUCUUAUUUCACUUACUUCCACUGGCUCAGAACCUCAGGAACUUUAAUUCCUGAAGGAGAAGAACCUGCAAAAAUUCAAAGCACACACCACAGGACAUUUUCCAGAUAGAUCCAACCCAAAUCAAAGCAAAAGCCUCAAAAGAAAACUUCUCUUGUGGAAUCUCAAGCCCAGUUUUGCAGGUAUGUGAAAUUCAGAUAAUGAAUGAUAAACAUCUGAAGUUUUGGACUAGUACCAACAUUCUGCUUUUGUAUUCAUCCUUCAACGUACAGGACUCACAGCAUCAAAGUGAAACGCUAAGUACACUCAGAAAACCAGCACGACUGGAUUCGCAGAACUCUACCAACACAGUCAACUGUUCCAAUUUCUGCCUUUAUUGACUAGCCUGUUUCUCUCCAAACGGUAUGAGACAGAUUUUUUAGAACUAGUAAUUAAAGAAGAGAAACAAAUAACCUGAUACUGUCAGCAGACUCUUGUGGAAAGUGCUGCAAGCAAAAAGACAGUGUAAGUGAAUUUGACCCACACUGGGAAGCCUAUACUGCUCGGAAGCCUGUGGGUACAAAAGAAAAAAUAUGUCCAGCUCCCAGAAAACACACCACACUGAGCCAUCAUAGUUUCCUUGAAAACUGCUGGUGACUGAAGCCAGUAACUUCAUUCUUGCUCCACCAUUUUGCUUCAGGCUCUACGCCCAUGUUCACCAACAGGCUAAAAGCAAAAGAACUCCAAAGGCAUUACUCACACACCAGGCAGUGGAGAUAAGGAAGAACUCAUGGCCUGAUCCUCAAUGGUUGCUAGAGAGACCAGCAGCAAAACUCCCAGGCUAAGGACAAUUUCAUUCCUUGGAGGUCUCUAAAUAAUAAAGCCAUUUCAUUAAGCAUUAAGCACCAUUACAAAGUGACUAUAAAAAUCCUCCUAAUGGUAUUUCUGUAAAAACCCCUAUCAUAUUAUAGGGUGCUUUUCUGUAUUAUUCUGCCUUUUAUUCUUAAACCUAGUUCUAGACUGUGAGCAAAUGUACACCUUGUACAGCAGCUUCUGCCCAUAGUUUCCCAGAGCAUCGUACAUGCAGAAGCUCCCUGAAGGAUAUAUGUCUCAUGGUAAAAUACUGGUAGACUGUUACACUAGCAGGAAUAGUUUUAAAGAAAUUUCAACAGCCAGGGUGAACUACUGCUGAUUGCCAUCUGAGAAGUGGCACCCAAGCAGCUUGAGCUGACAGAUCAGCAGAGCACUCUAUAACCACACUAGGUUUGGAGCACAGCAAGGCAAAUGAGAAGCAAUGACAGCCGUACAGCUCACUCACAGCAUCCCCAAGAGAGCAGCCAUAUGCUGACAACGAACACUGCAGCCGAAACAAACCAAAAUUGUACAACAGCUUCUUAAAAUAAAUCAUCCCAACAGGCCCUGCUUCCUGUUCUGUUAACAGCCACCAGACCAGAGGACUGGAACUUACUCCGAGUCACAUAAAUGCACGUGUGCUUAAAAGUUCUAAGCUCUGGGUGCCUAGGCAUGUGUGGCUGCAUACGCUUUUGUGUGGCCAGCUACAGGAUGACAAGAAUAACACGAAUGCAGGAAGCCUCCUUCUCCAUUUUCUUGCUCUCUGCAGAGAACUUUAUGUCAUUAAAAAUUUAAAAAUUGUGAGGUUUUUCCUGUUUCCAGGUAAAACAUGAGCAAGUGUUGCAGGCUCUUAAUAGCGCAUGGAUAACUAGAGCUCAGCCAGGUACAGGUACUCAGAGGUAACACAUCGUCUCUACUGUGUCACACCCCUGGGAAUCUCCAGGAUUAAGACCUUACCGCUACACCAUUUUGCAUGACAGGAAAGGAUCAAAUUGGACAGGUUAAGGGUAGAACAUCAAGAUAAAAGUUUUUUUCACGGUAACUGAAUAUUGUGUCUUCAAAUCUCUUCUUUCCUUUUCAAAAACGUAUUUCUAACUUUGCAGUUCUGAAGAACAACUUUUACAUUGUGAACCGAGUAAGCAAUAUAGCAAUUUGCCCAAGUUUGCAGACACACUAAACCAGGUUCCUCAAAAAUAACUUCCACAUCAUAGCUUGAUGCCUUGAAAUGACUGUCUGAAGUCCAUCCUUCUCCCCUGAGUUUUUUGUUUGAACAUAUAUAGUUUCUUCAGGUUUGAAUCAAUGGGAGAACAAGACUGCGGCUUUUUGUUACAUCUUGGGUUAAAAUCUAUUGAAACUGGUAGAUCUAACACUACAUUUCCUUUCAAGCUAAAUAAGGCUACAGUUAAAUUCUUCUUUGUUUAGUAAUUGCUAAAAACAAAAGACUGCAAAAAAACCACAGGCUGCACAGGGUCUGGACCUCAUAAGACAAACAGAAUCACAGGAACAGGUGCCCCAAACGUGGAGAUUAAGGCAAUGAGUAGUGCAGCUCUGCUCCUAAAAGUACUGGGCAUGAAUAUGGUAUCUUUGUCAACAGAUGAAGCAGACCCUGACAUGUGAGUUUUGCUAUAAGCCAAUAUUAAGUACAUAAAUUUUACUACAUCAAACUACUGUAAUUAUUUCUUUGAUAUUUUGCUAGCUGUCACUCUACACAUGUGGAACAGUAAAAGCAUAAAACUGUCUAUUUUGAGAGUGUGUGUGUAAAGAAUACCAAGAAAAGGUUUGUUCUUAAAGAAAGCCAUCUAAAGCCAUCCAAAAUGAGUUUACUCUCUCAGAAUGCUGAUGUUACUUUGACCCUUAAAAUAAAUCUCUAAAACCCAUUAAGCAGGUGAAAAGGGCUUCAGUUUCAUGCUUUAACCACACCUUAUCCUUAGCCAAGUUGUUGAUGGCUAAUCAUCUCCGGUUACUUCUGAACAAAGUUUUAACCACCACUGUUGGAGUCAUCAGUACCUAACAUAUGCUGGGGAGAAGGGAGGAAGUGAUCUGUCUGACUGUUAGACAAAUAAUAGACUUACUGACAGAAUAAAAGCAAAAGAACAAAACAAAGUAACUGAAAAGGACAGAAGACCAAUUUGCUUAUAGCAGCAUUUGAGGAAGGCCUAGGAGAAAGUGGGACACCUAACAAUAUCCAAAAGCCUUUGGGUCUGUUUAUUUCAGCUAUAUCAG
RNAcentral lists this long non-coding RNA (9135 nucleotides) under Strigops habroptila (Kakapo). Its description in RNAcentral is "lncRNA (ENSSHBG00005019444.1)". The record is from RNAcentral. Lineage: Eukaryota; Metazoa; Chordata; Aves; Psittaciformes; Psittacidae.